RNAcentral lists this transfer RNA (67 nucleotides) under Hibiscus cannabinus. RNAcentral describes it as "tRNA-fMet". It matches the Rfam family "tRNA". From Rfam's summary of the family: Transfer RNA (tRNA) molecules are approximately 80 nucleotides in length. Their secondary structure includes four short double-helical elements and three loops (D, anti-codon, and T loops). Further hydrogen bonds mediate the characteristic L-shaped molecular structure. tRNAs have two regions of fundamental functional importance: the anti-codon, which is responsible for specific mRNA codon recognition, and the 3' end, to which the tRNAs corresponding amino acid is attached (by aminoacyl-tRNA synthetases). tRNAs cope with the degeneracy of the genetic code in two manners: having more than one tRNA (with a specific anti-codon) for a particular amino acid; and 'wobble' base-pairing, i.e. permitting non-standard base-pairing at the 3rd anti-codon position. The record is from RNAcentral. Lineage: Eukaryota; Viridiplantae; Streptophyta; Magnoliopsida; Malvales; Malvaceae.
AGCGGGGUAGAGGAAUUGGUCAACUCAUCGGGCUCAUGACGCAGGUUCAAAUCCUGUCCCCGCCUGA